Molecule: small nuclear RNA, 106 nt
Organism: Heterocephalus glaber (naked mole-rat)
Lineage: Eukaryota; Metazoa; Chordata; Mammalia; Rodentia; Bathyergidae
Source: Ensembl
GUGCUCCUUUUGGUAGCACAUAUCCUAAAUUUAGAGUGAUAUAAAGAAGAUUAGAAUGGCCCCUAGCAAGACUGAUAUGCAAAUUUGCACAGCAUUCCAUAUUUUU